AUGGUCAUGGAGUCCGAGCCACAGCCUGGUAAUGGUCAUGAACCUCAAAAUACCGCAAGUCAGCAACAACAUCAGUAUGAUGACCAAACACUGAGUAGUGCUGAUGGAGCAGAGUUUCUAUGGAAGCUAAGGAAGUACUUGAUCCUGCUGGCAACUUUAUCAGCCACUAUCACCUACCAGGCGGGGCUGGCUCCACCAGGUGGUCUCUGGCCAGAUAGCCAGCAAGGCCACCUUGCCAGUGACAUUGUCAUGCUACAUAGCUAUGUCAAGCGGUACAAGGUGUUCUUCUACUGCAACGCAACAGCGUUCAUGGCAUCACUCAUUGUUCUGAUCCUGCUCCUGGUCAGGGAGCUGAGCCGGAAUGCAAUUUGGCUCCGCUCGUUGCAGUUUGCAAUGUUGGUUGACCUGCUGGGACUUAUGGGGGGCUACGCUGCUGGGAGCUGCAGGGAGGUCAGAACAUCCGUUUACAUUUGGGUAUUACUUGCUGGCAUCUUCACAUAUGUUGCACUUCAUGUAGUGUUCUUCCGGCAUCUAGCGCCUGAAUGGCUCCGAGACAUAUUCAGGAAUAUCCAGAGGUUCUGGGAGGAUUCUAUAGCACAAAUUUUCAGCAGAAGUCACAACAUCGGAGAUGAACCAGAUGCUCCUCUCCAUGAUAAAGUGGAGGCACUGGAGCAGAAUCGCAGUUUCUUGCUGGUUGCUGCUACAUUGGCAGCAGCAGUGACAUAUACUGCAGGGCUAAGUCCACCAGGUGGCUUCUGGCCCGACAACAAGGGCGGCCACAUUGCCGGCGACCCGGUGCUUCGAGAUCACUACCCCCGCCGCUUCAAGGUAUUUAUGGCCUGCAAUUCGACUGCCUUUUCUGGAUCACUUGUCAUCAUCAUCAUGCUCCUCAGCAAAACGGGAGUGAAUCACAUUGCCAAGUCAAAUGUACUUCGGUUGUGGGUUCUGAUCAGCCUGCUUGGCCUUAUGGCUGCUUAUGCUGCAGGGAGUUGCAGGGAAGUCCGUACGUCUAUCUUUGUGUUCUCGCUUGUCGGCGCGGUCCUGCUCUACCUCAUCAUUCAAUGGGUUGCUCCUAUGGUGCCCAAGCCAGAAUUUAUCAGGGAGUGGAUCAAGUGGAUGGAAGGAGAGCAGAAUAAGCUGAUCUUGAAGCUAAACUCCUUUAUGGAUAGUUGCAGCACAUCCAAUGGGCAGGUGACACCAUUAGAGUAUGAUGGGCAACAUUCAUACAACAAUGAUGCAUCAAACACUGUUAGUAUUGUGAAAGAUGACUUAGGGAAGUUGCGCACAUACCUUUUAUUGCUUGGCAUCCUUGCUGCGACUAUUACAUACCAAGCUGGGUUGCAUCCCCCGGGCGGGUUUUGGCCAGACAGUCGAGAUGGGCAUCUUGCUGGAGAUCCAAUCCUAGAGGCCAUCCAUCCCAUGCGGUACAAGACAUUCUUCUACUGCAACGCCACUGCAUUUGUGGCAUCAUUGGUUAUCAUCACUCUACUCCAGAGCCAGUUGAUCACCAUAGGUGCCAUGAAACGAUAUGUGUUGCAGACAGCCAUGGUUUUUGACCUCUUCAGUAUAAUGGGGGCAUAUGCUGUUGGCAGCAGCUUAUCCCCAUCAAUAUAUGUGAUAAUCCUGGUCAUCCUUGUUUUCUCUUAUGUUGUGCUUCAUAUUGUUCUAUUUGUGGUCGCAAGAGUUCCUGAUGAAACAGCUCAGCAGCAAGAUGAUAACCCUGAAGUGAAAGAUUUGGAGAAGCGGCGCAAGUUUCUAAUGCUGCUUGCAAUUCUGGCAGCAUCCAGCACAUACCAAGCCGGCAUAAGCCCACCAGGUGGUUUCUGGGCUGACAACAGAGAUGGCCACGAGGCAGGUCACCAUUAUUCAGUGAUGAGUUUCCACGCCGUUACCAGGCUUUCAUCUACUUGA
This 1911-nucleotide ribosomal RNA is filed under the name Triticum aestivum (bread wheat). RNAcentral's name for it is "partial small subunit ribosomal RNA". The record is from RNAcentral. Lineage: Eukaryota; Viridiplantae; Streptophyta; Magnoliopsida; Poales; Poaceae.